RNAcentral lists this ribosomal RNA (521 nucleotides) under Aspergillus flavus. Its description in RNAcentral is "eukaryotic LSU rRNA". The stretch from base 181 to 334 matches the Rfam family "5.8S ribosomal RNA". The record is from RNAcentral. Lineage: Eukaryota; Fungi; Ascomycota; Eurotiomycetes; Eurotiales; Aspergillaceae.
GAGUGUAGGGUUCCUAGCGAGCCCAACCUCCCACCCGUGUUUACUGUACCUUAGUUGCUUCGGCGGGCCCGCCAUUCAUGGCCGCCGGGGGCUCUCAGCCCCGGGCCCGCGCCCGCCGGAGACACCACGAACUCUGUCUGAUCUAGUGAAGUCUGAGUUGAUUGUAUCGCAAUCAGUUAAAACUUUCAACAAUGGAUCUCUUGGUUCCGGCAUCGAUGAAGAACGCAGCGAAAUGCGAUAACUAGUGUGAAUUGCAGAAUUCCGUGAAUCAUCGAGUCUUUGAACGCACAUUGCGCCCCCUGGUAUUCCGGGGGGCAUGCCUGUCCGAGCGUCAUUGCUGCCCAUCAAGCACGGCUUGUGUGUUGGGUCGUCGUCCCCUCUCCGGGGGGGACGGGCCCCAAAGGCAGCGGCGGCACCGCGUCCGAUCCUCGAGCGUAUGGGGCUUUGUCACCCGCUCUGUAGGCCCGGCCGGCGCUUGCCGAACGCAAAUCAAUCUUUUUCCAGGUGACCUCGAUCAGUAG